This 714-nucleotide ribosomal RNA is filed under the name uncultured eukaryote. RNAcentral describes it as "SSU rRNA". It matches the Rfam family "Eukaryotic small subunit ribosomal RNA", at positions 591 to 1310 of the family's 1831-position model. The record is from RNAcentral.
CUCAUAGCGUAUAUUAAGUUGUUGCAGUUAAAACGCUCGUAGUCGGAUUUCGGGGCGGGCUGCUCGGUCUGCCGAUGGGUAUGCACUGGGUGGCGCGUCCUUCCUUCCGGAGACCGCGCCUUCUCUUAACUGAGCGGGCGCGGGAGACGGAACGUUUACUUUGAAAAAAUCAGAGUGUUUCAAGCAGGCAUCUCGCUCUUGCAUGGAUUAGCAUGGGAUAAUGAAAUAGGACUUUGGUGCUAUUUUGUUGGUUUCGAACACCGAAGUAAUGAUUAACAGGGACAGUCAGGGGCACUCGUAUUCCGUCGAGAGAGGUGAAAUUCUCAGACCAACGGAAGACGAACCACUGCGAAAGCAUUUGCCAGGGAUGUUUUCACUGAUCAAGAACGAAAGUUAGGGGAUCGAAGACGAUCAGAUACCGUCGUAGUCUUAACCAUAAACCAUGCCGACUAGGGAUUCGAGGGUGUUCCAUCUGUGACCCCUUGAGCACCUUUCGGGAAACUAAAGUCUUUGGGUUCCGGGGGGAGUAUGGUCGCAAGGCUGAAACUUAAAGGAAUUGACGGAAGGGCACCACCAGGAGUGGAGCCUGCGGCUUAAUUUGACUCAACACGGGGAAACUUACCAGGUCCAGACAUUGUGAGGAUUGACAGAUUGAGAGCUCUUUCUUGAUUCAAUGGGUGGUGGUGCAUGGCCGUUCUUAGUUGGUGGAGUGAU